AUGAUAUAUUAUUUAAUCAUGGAAAUGCCAUGUCAAGUGCACCUAUCAGAAUCGGAAUAAACCAAUUACCAAAUCCACCUAUCAUCGCUGGCAUAA
This 96-nucleotide ribosomal RNA is filed under the name Triticum aestivum (bread wheat). Its description in RNAcentral is "partial small subunit ribosomal RNA". The record is from RNAcentral. Lineage: Eukaryota; Viridiplantae; Streptophyta; Magnoliopsida; Poales; Poaceae.